UACAGAGACUGCGAGCGUUAUUCGGAUUCGCUGGGCGUAAAGGGUGCGCAGGCGGCCGUGUGUGUGAGGCGUGAAAGCCCGGGGCUUAACCCCGGAAUUGCACCUCAAACUACACGGCUAGAGCAUUGGAGAGGGUAGCGGAAUUCACGGUGUAGCAGUGAAAUGCGUAGAUAUCGUGAGGAACACCAGAGGCGAAGGCGGCUACCUGGACAAUUGCUGACGCUCAGGCACGAAAGCGUGGGGAGCAAAAGGG
Molecule: ribosomal RNA, 253 nt
Filed under: uncultured bacterium
Lineage: Bacteria
Description: partial 16S ribosomal RNA
Rfam family: Bacterial small subunit ribosomal RNA
Source: RNAcentral